Molecule: long non-coding RNA, 526 nt
Organism: Cynoglossus semilaevis (tongue sole)
Lineage: Eukaryota; Metazoa; Chordata; Actinopteri; Pleuronectiformes; Cynoglossidae
Exons: 4
Source: RefSeq, a predicted model, not a curated record
GUUUAUAAUGAGGUAUACCGCCAUCUAAAGGCAGGAGGAACUCCAUGCUCUUCGAUCUUCUUGUCAAAUUAGCAUUAUCUAGUGGCAAAGUUGAUGAUUUACAAGUUCUCAACUAUCCACAGCCAACGAAGAAUUACUGGCCAAUCAAAGCCUGAUGAAACUGAUCAACAGAAGAUGAAACAUCAUCUUAUCUUAAACCACUGGACCUCUCAGCUUGUCAGCAGACCUGGGACAUCAUCAUGUCAUCCUGCACUCUGACCUGAUAGGACGACUUGAUGAGAUCAAAAAUCUCAAUCUGAGGAGGAGGUUCAUCUCCACUUGUCAGCAAGGCGUGCAGGUGAGGGAUUGGCAGAGCUCCGGUCUGAUUAUUCACCACAUUGUCCAGGACAAAAGGGCAGCCAUAUUGUCAUGGAGAACAGUCAAUGCCACCUGCAGACAGAUUCACAGCUUUCAGAGGUCAGAUGUUUGACACACAAGUACAGUAUUAAGCUUAAAAUGUAUAUAACAGAUUUUGGUGGGUCACUAA